Molecule: ribosomal RNA, 468 nt
Filed under: uncultured bacterium
Lineage: Bacteria
Description: partial 16S ribosomal RNA
Rfam family: Bacterial small subunit ribosomal RNA
Source: RNAcentral
GACGAACGCUGGCGGCGUGCUUAACACAUGCAAGUCGAACGGACAGGCCCUGCUUUUGUGGGGUGCUCGUGUGGCGAACGGGUGAGUAACACGUGAGUAACCUGCCCUUGACUUAGGGAUAACUUCAGGAAACUGGGGCGAAUACCGGAUAGGAGCUCCUGCUGCAUGGUGGGGGUUGGAAAGUUUCGGCGGUGGGGGAUGGAUUCGCGGCUUAUCCGCUUGUUGGUGGGGUAGUGGCUUACAAAGGCUUUGACGGGUAGCCGGCCUGAGAGGGUGACCGGCCACAUUGGGACUGAGAUACGCCCCAGACUCCUACGGGAGGCAGCAGGGGGGAAUAUUGCACAAUGGGCGGAAGCCUGAUGCAGCAACGCCGCGUGCGGGAUGCCGGCCUUCGGGUUGUAAACCGCUUUCGCCUGUGACGAAGCGUGAGUGACGGUAAUGGGUAAAGAAGCACCGGCUAACUACGUG